Molecule: ribosomal RNA, 450 nt
Filed under: uncultured bacterium
Lineage: Bacteria
Description: partial 16S ribosomal RNA
Rfam family: Bacterial small subunit ribosomal RNA
Source: RNAcentral
GUGGGGAAUAUUGGACAAUGGGGGAAACCCUGAUCCAGCCAUGCCGCGUGUGUGAAGAAGGCCUUCGGGUUGUAAAGCACUUUCAGUAGGGAGGAAAGCUCGGUAGCUAAUAUCUGCCGGGAUUGACGUUACCUACAGAAGCAGCACCGGCUAACUUCGUGCCAGCAGCCGCGGUAAUACGAAGGGUGCAAGCGUUAAUCGGAAUUACUGGGCGUAAAGCGCGCGUAGGCGGUUUGGUUAGUUGGAUGUGAAAGCCCCGGGCUCAACCUGGGAACUGCAUGCAAUACUGCCAGGGUAGAGUACGGUAGAGGGGGGUAGAAUUCCACGUGUAGCGGUGAAAUGCGUAGAGAUGUGGAGGAAUACCAGUGGCGAAGGCGGCCCCCUGGAUCGAUACUGACGCUGAGGUGCGAAAGCGUGGGGAGCAAACAGGAUUAGAAACCCCUGUAGUCC